GAAAGCAGGGAUCUUCGACUUGCGCUAUCGGAUGAGUCUAUGUCGAUAGCUGUGUGAGGUAAUGCUCACAAGGCGACGAUCCGUAGCUGUCUGAGAGGAUGAUCAGCCACAUCGGGACUGAGACACGGCCCGACUCUACGGGAGGCAGCAGUGGGAAUAUUGACAAUGGGCGAAAGCUGAUCCAGCCAUGCCGCGUGUGUGAAGAAGGCUUCGGGUUGUAAAGCACUUUCAGUGGGAAGAAAGCCUUGGGGCUAAUACCCUCGAGGAAGGACAUCACCCACAGAAGAAGCACCGGCUAACUCCGUGCCAGCAGCCGCGGUAAUACGGAGGGUGCGAGCGUUAAUCGGAAUUACUGGGCGUAAAGCGCGCGUAGGCGGUCUGAUAAGCCGGUUGUGAAAGCCCCGGGCUCAACCUGGGAACGGCAUCCGGAACUGUCAGGCUAGAGUGCAGGAGAGGAAGGUAGAAUUCCCGGUGUAGCGGUGAAAUGCGUAGAGAUCGGGAGGAAUACCAGUGGCGAAGGCGGCCUUUUGGACUGACACUGACGCUGAGGUGCGAAAGCGUGGGUAGCAACCAGGAUUAGAUACCCUGGUAGUCCACGCCGUACUCCGAUGUAGCAUACCCGUUGGGCUCCGGGAAAGCUCUGUGUACCCAGCUCACAUGGACCACUCACCG
This 672-nucleotide ribosomal RNA is filed under the name Halomonas alkalicola. RNAcentral's name for it is "bacterial SSU rRNA". It matches the Rfam family "Bacterial small subunit ribosomal RNA", at positions 202 to 871 of the family's 1533-position model. Lineage: Bacteria; Pseudomonadati; Pseudomonadota; Gammaproteobacteria; Oceanospirillales; Halomonadaceae. The record is from RNAcentral.